RNAcentral lists this long non-coding RNA (695 nucleotides) under Homo sapiens (human). RNAcentral describes it as "non-protein coding lnc-POTED-6:1". The record is from RNAcentral. Lineage: Eukaryota; Metazoa; Chordata; Mammalia; Primates; Hominidae.
AACACUGGGAAUGCAGCAGAAGUAAUCGAGUUCAGUGCUGGGAGACAGUUGCCAUGAUAUUCCAACAUGGACACCAGGAUCACAGUCGAUGACUAUGCCCUCCCUUGAAGAUGGUGGCUUGCCUCUCUUUCUGUAAGCACAUGUCAUGUCAUAACAAUAUUAAACAAUUGAAAGUAAUGUCCCCAUCUUCUUCUACACUGCCUUUGAAUUAUUAUUUUAGAUCUGCCAAAAUAAAUUGCAAACUCAUUAACAAGAAAGGGGGGGUGCAUGCAUCCUUGCCUUCCCGAGUAGUCUAUUCACCCAAAGACAAAAGGGUGACCAGCCUCCAUCUGGGAUAUUCAAAGACACAGUCACCUUGCCAUGCAGCCUGAGGCCAAUCCCCUUUUUAAGAAGCUUGUUAGAUGAGCUCCUUAAACAUACAACCACAAAGGAAAAGCACAGCUGUGGAACUGCACAGCAUGCAUAGAAUACGUCCUCCCUUCAGUUGGCUUGGGUCAGCUUAGGUCAUGGGCCACUUGGACUGAUAGCAGUUUCCACAGAAAUGCCUCAAGAUGGUAGAAUAAUCCAGAUCUCUUUGCAUGGGGCAUGGUGUGGCUAUCUGAGAAAAUCCUGGCUUUUAUAGGAAGGAGAAAGAAGAAUGCUUCUUGAGGGGAAGAAACCAACAGGAAUGUGCCUCAGGGAAAUGUCACCAGAGG